This 22-nucleotide small nuclear RNA is filed under the name Arabidopsis thaliana (thale cress). RNAcentral's name for it is "snRNA_12493". Lineage: Eukaryota; Viridiplantae; Streptophyta; Magnoliopsida; Brassicales; Brassicaceae. The record is from RNAcentral.
AGUGUUUUUACUUUUAUCUCAA